Molecule: ribosomal RNA, 1529 nt
Filed under: Faecalibacterium sp. BIOML-A4
Lineage: Bacteria; Bacillati; Bacillota; Clostridia; Eubacteriales; Oscillospiraceae
Description: partial 23S ribosomal RNA
Rfam family: Bacterial large subunit ribosomal RNA
Source: RNAcentral
UUGAAAGGUCAAGCGAACAAGGGCGCAGGGCGAAUGCCUUGGCACUGGGAGCCGAUGAAAGACGUGAUAAGCUGCGAUAAGCUUCGGGGAGCUGCAAAUAAGCAUUGAUCCGGAGAUUUCUGAAUGAGGAAACUCACCUGGGUUCAUACUCAGGUACGUUAUACUGAACUUCAAAAUAGGUAUAUCGAGGGAACCGCCUGAACUGAAACAUCUAAGUAGGGCGAGGAAGAGACAUCAAACGAGAUUCCGUAAGUAGUGGCGAGCGAACGCGGAAGAGGGCAAACCGAGAGUAGAAAUACUUUCGGGGUACGGAGCGCAUUUAGGACUUAAGUUGUUAACCGAACGGCAUGGGAAGGCCGGUCAGAGAGUGUGAGAACCACGUAGGUGAAAACGACAAGAGCUGAGCGAAUUCCAGAGUACGGCCAGACACGUGAAACCUGGUCGGAAUACGGGGGGACCACCCUCCAACCCUAAAUACUACCCAGUGACCGAUAGCGUAUAGUACUGUGAAGGAAAGGUGAAAAGCACCCCGGGAGGGGAGUGAAAAAGAACCUGAAACCCUGUGCCUACAAGCACCUAGAGCACGUCAAUGUGUGAUAGGGUACUUUUUGUAGAACGGUCCGGCGAGCGAUUGUAUGCAGCAAGGUUAAGGACUUAAGGUCUGGAGCCGAAGCGAAAGCGAGUUUGAAAAGGGCGUUAAGUUGCAUAUAAUGGGCCCGAAACCGGGUGACCUACCCAUGGUCAGGUUGAAGUGGAAGUAAAAUUCCAUGGAGGACCGAACCGACCUCCGUUGAAAAGGCGGCGGAUGAACUGUGGGUAGCGGAGAAAUUCCAAUCGAACCCGGAGAUAGCUGGUUCUCCCCGAAAUAGUUUUAGGACUAGCCUCAAGUUAGAUACCUGGAGGUAAAGCACUGAAUAGCCUAGCGGCCGAGAGGUUAGCGAAGCUUAUCAAACUCAGAAUGCCAGAGUAUUGAUGCUUGGGAGUCAGACAGUGUCAGAUAAAUGUCAUUGUCAAAAGGGAAACAGCCCAGAUCUACAGCUAAGGUCCCAAAGUCAGGUUAAGUGGAAAACGAUGUGAAGAUACGUAGACAACCAGGAUGUUGGCUCAGAAGCAGCCACUCAUUCAAAGAGUGCGUAAUAGCUCACUGGUCGAGCGUCUUUGCGCGGAGAAUUUAACGGGGCUAAACCUGACACCGAAGCUUAGGCAGCAUGUUUACAUGCUGGGUAGGGGAGCGUUGUAUACGCGGUGAAACAGUAGCGCAAGCGGCUGUGGAGUGUAUAGAAGUGAGAAUGCCGGAAUGAGUAGCGCGAAUGCAGUGAGAAUCUGCAUGGCCGAAAGCCUCAGGUUUCUGGAGGAAGGUUCGUCCGCUCCAGGUUAGUCGGGAGCUAAGGUGAGGCCUAACGGCGUAGCCGAUGCACAGACGGUAGAGAUUCCGUCACCACCAAAAGAGUUAAACACAGGGACACAUAUGAAGUCUCGGAGCCGGGUGUUGGUUCCGGUAGCGAUCGAGGGAAGUUAGUACCGAAGUC